Molecule: long non-coding RNA, 3842 nt
Organism: Clupea harengus (Atlantic herring)
Lineage: Eukaryota; Metazoa; Chordata; Actinopteri; Clupeiformes; Clupeidae
Source: Ensembl
ACAAGGACAGGGGGUGGGGGUGUCUGUGUGUGGGCGGAUGGGGGUGUCAGUGACACAUGAUGCGUCUUCUCCAGCCACACAUCUGACAGACAUGGUCACAUCCUCAGUUGGCCCUAAUGAAGAUUAAAGUGGGCUUCCUCAUGCUAAGCCCUGCUAAUUAACCAAUCAGCUGGAUGGACAGCUCAGACGAGAGUCAACAGCGAUGGGCAGGCGGCGAUAGGAAGAGUGCCGGCCAGGGCCAGCGAGUGAGAUUGUGUAAUUGCGAUGGUAAUGGAUUCUGUCAGGGGUACCUGUCAGGGAGCCUGCUGCAAACUGGCAAAAAAGGGGGAAGAGGGGGGGGGAUUAACAUUGGGGUGCAGAUGGAGUAUAAAUGCCCCAUACCCCCCCCCCAUUUCAGCCAGGCCCACCUGAUUGCCAAUUUGUGCCAGUUGCCGCGCAUCACGGCGCCACGGGAUAAGAUGGGGGCCGGCGCAGCAGUGGUAUAGGGCCUUUUUUGUAUUUUUUUUUUUCACCACGGCCGGCGGUGCCGGCAAAAGUGUGUGUCAGAGGGAAUAAAUGAGCCGGGCGGGUGGGAUUGAGAGACGGGCUGAGGUUUCAGGUUUAAUUUUCCAAUUUCGAGGAAUGCACCAGUGAUUUCUCCCGCCAGUGCGGGCGGGGAGGCGCUCCGUCGGCCGAGCGUUAUCAGAUGCCACGCUCUCUGCCACGCUUGGCAGCCCCACCAGAUUAAUGAGAGGGAGAGGCAGAGAGAAUCUUCUCUUAACACAGGGAAUGGAGCUAAGAUGCUUGAGACACCCUUUAGAUGUGAGCGACGAGGAGAUAAGGCACAGCUGAACAUAACAGAGCUCCUAUUUGACAUGUUCCAGGUACCUUCUACCAACAGCACAGCUGUUUCAAUGAUGCUAUAAAUUGUAGUUGUUGAAAUAAUGUCAUUCAUUGAUCACCUGCAGUUGUAAGACAUCUAAAAAAAAACUACUAGCUGACAUUAGGUGAAAUAUACAAAAACAUCAAGGCAUGUCAGACUACCUUAAAGAGCCUAACAGGCCUUGGUCUCCCAAGUGUUAAGCGAAACAGUUCUGAUCAUGCAAGCAAGUCACAGAAAGAGCAAAAUCCCAUUGCGGGUCUGCAGGCAGAUGAUCAACUCCUAAAUGGAUGAUUAAAGGACAAGGAUAUGAGAUAUACGAGAUAUGAGGAUAAACGGUUAUGGACAGUUCAUAGUAUGUUUCAGAACCAAUUAAAGGCUCAAAAUGAUAGUAUUACUCCCCAGAAUGAAGAAGUCAUAAAGAUGUGAUGGUGUUACAAGGGUAUCCAGUGAAUACUAUAGAGAAUAAGGGUUAUAUCAAGCCAUUAUUGACAUUGACAAGACUUUGUCGCUGUAUUAUUAGUUUAUGUCCAUUACAUAAAUGUUAGAUGAAAUGUUGUAUCCAGUACGAUUCCAUGUUCACAUUUGAAACAUGUGUCUGCCAAACUUUAUUGAUUGUAUCUUUUUUUAGUGUGCAAUAUAAAAUAUUUUCCUCAAUUUGUUGGCUCACAGAACCUUUACAAACUAUACUUUAUUCUAAACGGCAGGCUGAUCUUCAGAAAGCUGAUGUUUUUGGCACUUUUUAACUACAUUUUUAAGCACUGUAGGGAUGACUUUAGCUGAAUGGGUCAAGAUGUUUUAUGAUCAUGUGGCAGUUACUGCCUAACAACAUCCAUGACUAAUCAUUUACCCUUCAUUUUAUGAUCAGUUUUUAUAAUUUGGCUUUCAGUUUGUCCAUUGGACCAUUUUGACUAUAAACAUUCAUGCUUUUUGCACCUGUUAAUAAAGACACAACAAUAAAUGUUGUUUUUUCUUUUACAUUUGUUUACUUAUUCAUUUAUUUUGUCUGGUUUGUUUUUAAUAAAGUCUCCAUGUUAGCACUGCAACAUAGCUUCUGAAUUUUCACCCUGUGACUAAGACCCACUAAGCCAACAACGUAGGUUGAUGUGAAAGAACCUCUAUGCAGCCAGUGGAAAUAUUAUACCUUUUUAGGGCUUAUACUUAACAUGACUGUUACAAAACCUAAAAUAAUGUUUGAACAGUUAUAUUACAAGAUUAAAAGAUACCUUUUUUUUGUUAACCUCACUACCAUAUUCCAACGAACUGUGAACCCUUCUCACCACAGAAGGACGUAUAGUUACUGAUGAGGUAAAAAUGAUGUUGGUGAACCUAUUUGCCCUAUUUUUUUUUUGUUCCUGUUGGCAUCCACUGCAUUUGAAUGUAUGCAGGUGCCCCUCUUUGCAUUUGGUGCGGUUGAGAUCCGCAGGCUUGCUUUAACUUCUGUUGUGUUUCUCUUUUUUGUCUCAUUUGGGAGGGUUUGAAGUGGUGGCUUAGCUUCUCAUCCUCUUACACGCCGGGCGUCUGUGUGAAGCAGCCGCCGUGGAGGGCUUCCACAGCAGCGUAAUCUGCCACGCUUUUGUUCUGGGCUAGACUUACAUUAUUCAUUUCACAGGGGCCACGGGCAUCAGAGACUCGGGCGGGCGGCGAGGGGUAGAGGUGGGAGGUGUGGGACUCACUGUUGCGAACAGUCUUGAAAUACCGAAAAAAUGAAAUACCGAAACUGUAUCCACAGGUCUCUCAGAACUCUCACGACUCAAAAAAAGGUUCUUUUGCUCGUUUUUUUUUCUUCUUUCCUUCAGUCUGUCUUGAGUUCUUGCUUGAUGUUCUCAUCUGUUCUCUUUCACUCUUUCGCUCUCUGUGCCUCCGGUGAUUGUGCCCUCUCCUGUGUUCCCUUUGCUGGGCUUUACUCUAAGACAAAAGCCACUUCAGAGAGAGAAAGAGAGAGAGAGAGAGAGAGAGAGAGAGAGAGAGAGAGAGAGAGAGAGAGAAGGGAAUGACUCAUGAUUUAAAAAGACAGAAAGGAAAGACAGACAUAAAGGUUGUUAAAGGUUCCUUUUCACUGAGUCUUUUCAUUUGCUGACUGCUGACUGCUGACUGCUGAAAGCGUACGCACCUGUUAUGUGCUUGGAAUGCACAAUGUAGGGAGAACUGGGUGAAAUUAAGAGGGGGGAAAAAAUGAGAUGGAUGGAUGGAUGAACGGAUGGAUAGAUGAAUGGAAUGGCCAUGGCAUACUGCUCCCAUCUCAGCCAGACAGACUGCUGUGCUCAGAGUGUGUGUGUCUGGCUAUGAAUGAGUAUCUGUGUGUAUGUGUGUGUGUGUGUGUGUGUGUGUGUGUGUGUGUGUGUGUGUGUAUGUGUGGGUGUGUGUCUGUAUGUAUGAGCUCCGUCUCUUUGAAUGUAUUUAUGUGUGAGUCUGUGUGUCUUUGUACAUGAGCUUUUGUACUAUUGCCUAAUCAUUUCUUUAUGUGUCACAGUGUCAGCAUGUAUGUUUGUAUUUUUUUUGACCGAGCACGAGCAUGUCUCUGCUUCAGUCUGUGUCUCCGCGUGUCAAUAUCCACGCCUGUGUGUGAGAGUGUGUCUUUGUGUGUGCCUGUGUGUGUAUGUGUGUGUGUGUGUGUGUGUGUGUGUGAGUAUGUGUUUCUCGGCAGCAGCAGCAGCGGGAGGAGGAAGAGGAGGAGGAGGAGGAGGAGGAGGGGUGGUGGUGGUGGUGUUUGUGAUGCAGGGCACGUUGUCUGAGGGCUGCUGGCUGCUCGGGGUUGUGGGAGCCUCAUUAGCGCGGCGCUGCAGCCCAAGAGCCAGGAUCAGCCUCCACCCCGCAGCCUCCAGCCACUGGCAGAGACUCGCCCCGGAUCACAACCCCCACAACCAGCCAACACAGAUACACACACACACACAUAAAUACCAUACACUGUCAUACAUCUCUCUCUCUCUCUCUCUCUCUCUCUCUCUCUCUCUCUCUGUCACACACUCAUACAUAUGCACAC